CCACCCGUGAGGAUGCCCAAGUUCUCUAUUUGAGACCUCGGAGCAGGUAUCAGGCGCGAGCCCCCCUCAGCCCAUAACACCUUGUUCAGCCACACCCCCAAGGGCACUCAGCAGUGAUUAACCUUAGGCAAUAAGCGAAAGCUUGACCUAGUGGUAGCCAACAGAGCCGGUAAACCUCGUGCCAGCCACCGCGGUGAUACGGAGGGCUCAAGUUGAUCGCCGUCGGCGUAAGGUGUGGUUAGAGUAAAAACUAGAGUAAAACUAAAAGAAAACGGAGCAGUGUAACGCCAACCACCGUAUGUCGGAGAACCAGAAACGAAAGUAGUUUUAUACAUCUUGAUUCCACGAAGGCUAAGAAA
RNAcentral lists this ribosomal RNA (359 nucleotides) under Aulostomus chinensis (Chinese trumpetfish). Its description in RNAcentral is "partial 12S ribosomal RNA". Lineage: Eukaryota; Metazoa; Chordata; Actinopteri; Syngnathiformes; Aulostomidae. The record is from RNAcentral.